GGAUGAACGCUGGCGGCGUGCCUAAUACAUGCAAGUCGAGCGAACAGAUAAGGAGCUUGCUCCUUUGACGUUAGCGGCGGACGGGUGAGUAACACGUGGGUAACCUACCUAUAAGACUGGGAUAACUUCGGGAAACCGGAGCUAAUACCGGAUAACAUUUGGAACCGCAUGGUUCUAAAGUGAAAGAUGGUUUUGCUAUCACUUAUAGAUGGACCCGCGCCGUAUUAGCUAGUUGGUAAGGUAACGGCUUACCAAGGCRACGAUACGUAGCCGACCUGAGAGGGUGAUCGGCCACACUGGAACUGAGACACGGUCCAGACUCCUACGGGAGGCAGCAGUAGGGAAUCUUCCGCAAUGGGCGAAAGCCUGACGGAGCAACGCCGCGUGAGUGAUGAAGGGUUUCGGCUCGUAAAACUCUGUUAUUAGGGAAGAACAAAYGUGUAAGUAACUGUGCACGUCUUGACGGUACCUAAUCAGAAAGCCACGGCUAACUAC
This 495-nucleotide ribosomal RNA is filed under the name Staphylococcus saprophyticus. Its description in RNAcentral is "bacterial SSU rRNA". The record is from RNAcentral. Lineage: Bacteria; Bacillati; Bacillota; Bacilli; Caryophanales; Staphylococcaceae.